AUUUAUAAAGUUUAUAAAACAUUUCAUUUUCAUUGAAAAAAGGAACUUAGUUCUAUAAAUA
This 61-nucleotide transfer RNA is filed under the name Planopleura kaempferi. RNAcentral's name for it is "tRNA-Glu". Lineage: Eukaryota; Metazoa; Arthropoda; Insecta; Hemiptera; Cicadidae. The record is from RNAcentral.